Molecule: long non-coding RNA, 233 nt
Filed under: Carica papaya (papaya)
Lineage: Eukaryota; Viridiplantae; Streptophyta; Magnoliopsida; Brassicales; Caricaceae
Description: long non-coding RNA (CPAP_LNC004320)
Source: RNAcentral
AUGAUAUUAAUGUAUUGUGUUCUUGAUUAAUAAAUUAUUUUUAUAAUGUAAGAUCGGUUUACUAGGAAGCCAAAUGGUAAGCUUGUAAGUUAAAAUAAUUCACCUUUAAAAUCUUACGAUGUUAAUUUAAUAUUGUUUUCGCUACGGAUCACAUGGAACUCAUUAUUUCCAUUCCCACUUAGAUUAGGAAGAAAAUGAGUAACCGUAGGCUGACCUACCCUUGGAAGUCUAUG